This 230-nucleotide ribosomal RNA is filed under the name uncultured bacterium. RNAcentral's name for it is "partial 16S ribosomal RNA". It matches the Rfam family "Bacterial small subunit ribosomal RNA", at positions 15 to 237 of the family's 1533-position model. The record is from RNAcentral.
GAUCCGGCUCAGGAUGAACGCUAGCUACAGGCUUAACACGUGCAAGUCGAGGGGCAGCAUGGUCUUAGCUUGCUAAGGCCGAUGGCGACCGGCGCACGGGUGAGUAACACGUAUCCAACCUGCCGUCUACUCUUGGACAGCCUUCUGAAAGGAAGAUUAAUACAAGAUGGCAUCAUGAGUCCGCAUGUUCACAUGAUUAAAGGUAUUCCGGUAGACGAUGGGGAUGCGUU